This 73-nucleotide transfer RNA is filed under the name Caudoviricetes sp. RNAcentral describes it as "tRNA-Thr". Lineage: Duplodnaviria; Heunggongvirae; Uroviricota; Caudoviricetes. The record is from RNAcentral.
GCCGCCUUAGCUCAGUCGGGAGAGCGCGUUCUUGGUAUGGACGAGGCCGCGCGUUCGAUCCGCGCAGGUGGCA